CGCGGGAUAGAGCAGUUGGCAGCUCGUCGGGCUCAUAACCCGGAGGUCGGUGGUUCGAGUCCGCCUCCCGCUACCA
RNAcentral lists this transfer RNA (76 nucleotides) under Bacteroidales bacterium. RNAcentral's name for it is "tRNA-Met". It matches the Rfam family "tRNA". Rfam says of the family: Transfer RNA (tRNA) molecules are approximately 80 nucleotides in length. Their secondary structure includes four short double-helical elements and three loops (D, anti-codon, and T loops). The record is from RNAcentral. RNAcentral also lists the same sequence under 1 other name. Lineage: Bacteria; Pseudomonadati; Bacteroidota; Bacteroidia; Bacteroidales.